AGUCAUCAGAAACCGAAAAGAAAUUGCAUUCAUUGUGGCUAAAAUUGAGAGACAGGUCAUGCUUCCACCACAGUAAAUAUUUAGACAAUGAGGCCUGUAACAUUU
RNAcentral lists this small nucleolar RNA (105 nucleotides) under Octodon degus (degu). Its description in RNAcentral is "Small nucleolar RNA SNORA1 (ENSODEG00000021428.1)". Lineage: Eukaryota; Metazoa; Chordata; Mammalia; Rodentia; Octodontidae. The record is from RNAcentral.